CCAUCUUUUAUUUCGUUAUAGUUAAUCUUUAAUUUUUGUUUAUUUAUUUUGGUUUAGUAUAUUAUUAGAAUUUUUUAUUUAAUUUUUUAUUAUAAGUAAUAAUGAUAUAAUUAGUAGUUUUGUAUAUUUAAGUAUAGUAAUUCGGCAAAUUUAGUUCUCGCCUGUUUAACAAAAACAUGUCCUUUAGAAUAUAAAUUUAAGGUCUGACCUGCCCAGUGAUGCAUUAAACGGCCGCAGU
RNAcentral lists this ribosomal RNA (238 nucleotides) under Stenometapodus v-luteum. Its description in RNAcentral is "partial large subunit ribosomal RNA". Lineage: Eukaryota; Metazoa; Arthropoda; Insecta; Hemiptera; Coreidae. The record is from RNAcentral.